Vitis vinifera (wine grape) is the source of this 509-nucleotide long non-coding RNA. RefSeq lists it as uncharacterized. The transcript is spliced from 2 exons. NCBI's taxonomy places the organism in Eukaryota, Viridiplantae, Streptophyta, Magnoliopsida, Vitales, Vitaceae. The record is from RefSeq and is a predicted model, not a curated record.
GAAGAAGGAUCCUUUGAUUCUGUGGUUGAUGGAUGUGAUGGAGUAUUUCAUACAGCAUCCCCAGUUGUGAUAAUAGUUGACGAUCCCCAGUUGGGAUUCUUCAAGAGUUUGGGAGGUGGGAGGAGUCCUAGAGGGAGAGCACUGUGCAGAGAGACCAACUUAGCUGGCUAAUGGAUUAUUCGGCUUCAGAGAAAUGCUUGGAUACAUCAGAACAUGAGAAAAUCUUUCAUUGACUUGUGUGCUAAUGUCUAUUCUCCCACAACUCUUUGAAUGCUUGUCACUGUAGAGUUCUUUAGGUUCCCUUAAAUGUAUAUACAUUCUUUUUUGGAUCAGAGAUCAAUAUGCCUUCCCGUCGGAGAGUGGUUUUGUGCUGGAGGAGGCACUGCCUGUGCUAUUUCUAGACUCCUGACUGUGGCCAGUCCACUCUGCACUUUUUUCAGUUUCCGGACACAACAUGUUAUACAAUUAACAUACCAGCUUCUAUGUGAUCGAAUUCAGCUCCACCUCAA